GACGAACGCUGGCGGCGCGCCUAACACAUGCAAGUCGAACGAGCGAGAGAGAGCUUGCUUUCUCGAGCGAGUGGCGAACGGGUGAGUAACGCGUGAGGAACCUGCCUCAAAGAGGGGGACAACAGUUGGAAACGACUGCUAAUACCGCAUAAGCCCACGGUGCCGCAUGGCACAGAGGGAAAAGGAGCAAUCCGCUUUGAGAUGGCCUCGCGUCCGAUUAGCUAGUUGGUGAGGUAACGGCCCACCAAGGCGACGAUCGGUAGCCGGACUGAGAGGUUGAACGGCCACAUUGGGACUGAGACACGGCCCAGACUCCUACGGGAGGCAGCAGUGGGGAAUAUUGCACAAUGGGGGAAACCCUGAUGCAGCGACGCCGCGUGGAGGAAGAAGGUCUUCGGAUUGUAAACUCCUGUUGUUGGGGAAGAUAAUGACGGUACC
This 438-nucleotide ribosomal RNA is filed under the name uncultured bacterium. RNAcentral describes it as "bacterial SSU rRNA". It matches the Rfam family "Bacterial small subunit ribosomal RNA", at positions 28 to 479 of the family's 1533-position model. The record is from RNAcentral.